RNAcentral lists this long non-coding RNA (576 nucleotides) under Castor canadensis (American beaver). RNAcentral's name for it is "lncRNA (ENSCCNG00000021793.1)". Lineage: Eukaryota; Metazoa; Chordata; Mammalia; Rodentia; Castoridae. The record is from RNAcentral.
GCCGAACAAGGCCGGGUCCCUGCCGCCGGCGGAGGCUGUCCGGAGGCCAUCGCAGCAGUCACCUGGUCCCCGCGCGUGUCGCCCGCGCUCGGCGUGGCCUCCCGGAGGGAAGCUCUUCUUCCUGUGUGGUUUCCAUCAUUAACCUUUCUACCAGGGAGCAUUCCCUAACACAUCCAAAGUUCAAGUCCAGACCCAAGACAGCAAGGUUCAGAAAGAGGUCAAGAUGGGGUUUAUAUUUUCAAAAUCCAUUAAUGAAAACAUGAAAAAUCAAAAAGAGUUCAUGCUUAUGAAUGCUAAACUUCAGGUAUGUUUUGAAAUAAUUAAGCUGUUAUGUUAUUGCAGUGGUUAAAGUUCUACUACAUGUACUUUAGCAGUAUGUUCUCUGUAACACCCCCACCCCCAAAUGAAAUGCCUCAUCUUUAAAGACAAGAUGAAAUGAAUUACUAAUUAUCUGGUGAAUGGUCUUGUUUAAGUAUCCAAUCCAGAUACUCAUCAAAAUUUCCACCCUACGGGAAGAGAUAAUUGCUUAAAGUAUAUUAUAGACAGAAUAAUACUCCCCCGAUACAUUCAUGUCUU